This 325-nucleotide ribosomal RNA is filed under the name uncultured eukaryote. RNAcentral describes it as "partial 18S ribosomal RNA". It matches the Rfam family "Eukaryotic small subunit ribosomal RNA", at positions 1470 to 1796 of the family's 1831-position model. The record is from RNAcentral.
CCCUUAGAUGUUCUGGGCCGCACACGCGCUACACUGAAGGAGGCAGCGUGUACUCCUGGAUCGAAAGAUUUGGGUAACCCGCGAAUCUCCUUCGUGCUAGGGAUUGAGGUUUGCAAUUAUCCUUCAUGAACGAGGAAUUCCCAGUAAGUGCAAGUCAUAAGCUUGCGCUGACUACGUCCCUGCCCUUUGUACACACCGCCCGUCGCUACUACCGAUUGAAUGGUCCGGUGAAUCUCAUGGACUGAAGUUUUGGCUAGCUUGCUAGAUUCGAAACAUUAGGAAGUGAGGUAAACCUUAUCAUUUAGAGGAAGGAGAAGUCGUAACA